UGGCUUUUGGGAAGAUGGAAUCUUGUUAUUUCUCUGUAACAAAGCCAUCAUCAUCUUCAACUAUUCUGAAUUUUCAGGGUGUUUCAUCUCUUGGUGGUAGAUCGUCUCAGAAAUCCUUAGGUGCCCCAUCUCAUCUUUCCUGGCCAUUAUCUGGACCUAAUAAGAAAAGUCAAAAUUUUGUUUAUAGGCGGAAGACGUUUAAGGGACCCAUAUUGGCAGAAGCUGGAAAACAAGGUUGGGAUUUUGGCAGAUUUAUAAAGACAUUAUAUUUUUUUAAUGGCCCUCCUUCCCCUGCAAAGUUCUUUGAAUCACUGAUUGAGAAACUAACUGGUCCAUCGCCUAGUAAACCAGUUAACUCGAUGGAUUCUUCUGGAAUUACCCUGGUAACUGGAGCCACUGGUGGUGUUGGGAGAAGAGUGGUGGACGUAUUACGCAACAAGAAACUGUCUGUCCGAGUACUCGUCAGAAAUGAAGAGA
RNAcentral lists this unclassified non-coding RNA (477 nucleotides) under Hevea brasiliensis (rubber tree). Lineage: Eukaryota; Viridiplantae; Streptophyta; Magnoliopsida; Malpighiales; Euphorbiaceae. The record is from RNAcentral.